GGAGGUAGUGACAAUAAAUCACAAUGCGGGACUAUACGUCUUGCAAUUGGAUUGAGAACAAUGUACAACUCUUAUCGAUAAGCCAUUGGAGGGCAAGUCUGGUGCCAGCAGCCGCGGUAAUUCCAGCUCCAAUAGCGUAUAUUAACGUUGUUGCAGUUAAAAAGCUCGUAGUUGAAGUGUGGGUGAUCGCUGUUGUGAGACUUCGGUCUCUCGACAGUAAGUCACCCCCUUCCAGUAUCCAGUAGUGGGUAUUCACUUACUUACUAUUGUGUGUUGGUCAUUUACUGUGAGAAAAUUAGAGUGUUCAAAGCAGGCGUUUGCUUGAAUAGAUUAGCAUGGAAUAAUAAUUGAAGGCUUUCGUGUUCGAUUUGAUUGGUUUGUUCAUGGAAGCAAGGUUAAAAGGAACAGUUGGGGGUAUUCAUAUUCACUAGUUAGAGGUGAAAUUCUCGGAUUUAUGGAAGAUGAACAAGUGCGAAAGCA
Molecule: ribosomal RNA, 480 nt
Filed under: Blastocystis sp.
Lineage: Eukaryota; Bigyra; Opalinata; Blastocystidae
Description: SSU rRNA
Rfam family: Eukaryotic small subunit ribosomal RNA
Source: RNAcentral